This 1442-nucleotide ribosomal RNA is filed under the name uncultured marine bacterium. RNAcentral describes it as "16S ribosomal RNA". It matches the Rfam family "Bacterial small subunit ribosomal RNA". The record is from RNAcentral.
GAGUUUGAUCAUGGCUCAGAACGUACGCUGGCGGCACGCCUAACACAUGCAAGUCGAACGAAGUAGCAAUACUUAGUGGCAGACGGGUGAGUAACAUGUGGGUAUCUACCCUUUGGCCUGGAAUAACACGAGGAAACUUGUGCUAAUACCGGAUAAGUCUUUACGGAGAAAGCUUUAUGCACCAUUGGAUGAGCCCGCACUUGAUUAGUUUGUUGGUAGGGUAAUGGCCUACCAAGACUAUGAUCAAUAGCUGAUUUGAGAGGAUGAUCAGCCACAUUGGGACUGAGACACGGCCCAAACUCCUACGGGAGGCAGCAGUGGGGAAUCUUGCACAAUGGAGGAAACUCUGAUGCAGCGAUGCCGCGUGAGUGAAGAAGGCCUUUGGGUUGUAAAGCUCUUUCGUCGGGGAAGAAAAUGACUGUACCCGAAUAAGAAGGUCCGGCUAACUUCGUGCCAGCAGCCGCGGUAAUACGAAGGGACCUAGCGUAGUUCGGAAUUACUGGGCUUAAAGAGUUCGUAGGUGGUUGAAAAAGUUGGUGGUGAAAUCCCAGAGCUUAACUCUGGAACUGCCAUCAAAACUUUUCAGCUAGAGUAUGAUAGAGGAAAGCAGAAUUUCUAGUGUAGAGGUGAAAUUCGUAGAUAUUAGAAAGAAUACCAAUUGCGAAGGCAGCUUUCUGGAUCAUUACUGACACUGAGGAACGAAAGCAUGGGUAGCGAAGAGGAUUAGAUACCCUCGUAGUCCAUGCCGUAAACGAUGUGUGUUAGACGUUGGAAAUUUAUUUUCAGUGUCGCAGGGAAACCGAUAAACACACCGCCUGGGGAGUACGACCGCAAGGUUAAAACUCAAAUGAAUUGACGGGGACCCGCACAAGCGGUGGAGCAUGUGGUUUAAUUCGAUGCAACGCGAAAAACCUUACCUAUGCUUGACAUACUUGGAAUACUUUGUAAUGAAGUAGUGCCUUCGGGAGCCAAGAUACAGGUGCUGCAUGGCUGUCGUCAGCUCGUGUCGUGAGAUGUUCCGUUAAGUCGGAUAACGAGCGCAACCCUUACCCUUAUUUGCCAGCGAUUCGGUCGGGAACUAUAAGGGGACUGCCGGUGAUAAACCGGAGGAAGGUGAGGACGACGUCAAGUCAUCAUGGCCCUUACGCAUAGGGCUACACACGUGCUACAAUGGAGAAUACAGACGGACGCUAAGCCGCGAGGUGGUGCCAAUCCUAGAAAAUUCUUCGUAGUCCGGAUUGGAGUCUGCAACUCGACUCCAUGAAGUCGGAAUCGCUAGUAAUCGCGAAUCAGCAUGUCGCGGUGAAUACGUUCUCGGGUCUUGUACACACCGCCCGUCAUACCAUGGAAGUGGAUUGCACCAGAAGUAGAUAGUCUAACCUUAGGGAGGGCGUUUACCACGGUGUGCUUCAUGACUAGGGUAAAGUCGUAACAAGGUAACC